This 501-nucleotide ribosomal RNA is filed under the name uncultured bacterium. RNAcentral's name for it is "partial 16S ribosomal RNA". It matches the Rfam family "Bacterial small subunit ribosomal RNA", at positions 30 to 523 of the family's 1533-position model. The record is from RNAcentral.
UUUGAACGCUGGCGGCAGGCUUAACACAUGCAAGUCGAGCGGAGAUGAGGUGCUUGCACCUUAUCUUAGCGGCGGACGGGUGAGUAAUGCUUAGGAAUCUGCCUAUUAGUGGGGGACAACAUUCCGAAAGGAAUGCUAAUACCGCAUACGUCCUACGGGAGAAAGCAGGGGAUCUUCGGACCUUGCGCUAAUAGAUGGGCCUAAGUCGGAUUAGCUAGUUGGUGGGGUAAAGGCCUACCAAGGCGACGAUCUGUAGCGGGUCUGAGAGGAUGCACCGCCACACUGGGACUGAGACACGGCCCAGACUCCUACGGAAGGCAGCAGUGGGGAAGAUUCGACAAUGGGGGAAACCCUGAUCCAGCCAUGCCGCGUGUGUGAAGAAGGCCUUAUGCUUGUAAAGCACUUUAAGCGAGGAGGAGGCUACUGAGACUAAUACUCUUGGAUAGUGGACGUUACUCGCAGAAUAAGCACCGGCUAACUCUGUGCCAGCCGCCGCCGUAA